RNAcentral lists this ribosomal RNA (492 nucleotides) under uncultured bacterium. RNAcentral's name for it is "partial 16S ribosomal RNA". It matches the Rfam family "Bacterial small subunit ribosomal RNA", at positions 29 to 507 of the family's 1533-position model. The record is from RNAcentral.
AGUGAACGCUGGCGGUAGGCUUAACACAUGCAAGUCGAACGGGAGCACAGUAAGAGCUUGCUCUAACGGGUGGUGAGUGGCGGACGGGUGAGGUAUACAUCGGAACCUACUUUUUCGUGGGGGAUAACGAAGGGAAACUUACGCUAAUAACGCAUACGACCUACGGGUGAAAGGAGGGGAGUUUCGGACCUUGGGUGAUUGAAUGAGCCGAUGUCGGAUUAGCUAGGUGGCGGGGGAAAGGCUGACUGAGGAGACGAUCUGUAGCUGGUCUAAGAGAAUGAUCGUCCACACUGGGACUGGGACACGAUCCAGACUCCUACGGGGGGCAGCAGUGGAGAAUAUUGGGCAGUGGCCGCAAGCCUGAUCCAGCCAUGCGCCGUAGGUUGAGGAGGCCUUCGGGUUGGAAGGCCCUUUUGUUGCGAAAGAAAAGCAUCAGUUUAAGGCCCCGCUGUUCUGACGGUACCCAAAGAAUAAGCACCGGCUAACUUCGUG